AGCAGCCGCGGUAAUUCCAGCUCCAAUAGCGUAUAUUAAAGUUGUUGCAGUUAAAAAGCUCGUAGUUGAAUUUCGGGGUCAGUAGGUUGGUCAUGCCACUGGUAUGUACUGAUCUUACUGAUUCCUCCUUCCUGAUGAACCGUAAUGCCAUUAAUUUGGUGUUGCGGGGAGACUGGACUGUUACUUUGAAAAAAUUAGAGUGUUUAAAGCAGGCUAACGCUUGAAUACAUUAGCAUGGAAUAAUGAAAUAGGACGCUCGAUCCUAUUUUGUUGGUUUCUAGGAUUGACGUAAUGAUUAAUAGGGAUAGUUGGGGGCAUUAGUAUUCAAUUGUCAGAGGUGAAAUUCUUGGAUUUAUUGAAGACUAACUACUGCGAAAGCAUUUGCCAAGGAUGUUUUCAUUAAUCAAGAACGAAAGUUAGGGGAUCGAAGACGAUCAGAUACCGUCGUAG
RNAcentral lists this ribosomal RNA (450 nucleotides) under uncultured Glomeromycotina. RNAcentral's name for it is "SSU rRNA". It matches the Rfam family "Eukaryotic small subunit ribosomal RNA", at positions 569 to 1023 of the family's 1831-position model. Lineage: Eukaryota; Fungi; Glomeromycota. The record is from RNAcentral.